AAGAGUUGGGAGUUACUACAAGAGAGGUACAUUCACUACUAAUUUUGUGUAGUUAUCUGCACUUGUUUGAGGUUUUAAUAAUGUUGUUCUGAUUGAUACUAUAUGAACAUCAUCCACCAUUGGUAUGAAUGGCUUGUGUUUUCCGGUUCUUGAACUCCCGCUGAACAAGACAAAAAGGAGUUCAUCGCAUCCCUACACAAGCGAGAGACUGAGCAGCACGUGGCGCUGAUCGAGAAGAAGCUGUUGGCUCUUCGACCUGGUGUUGCAAAAUGGCAAGUGAUUUGUGCCACUUCUGCUAAGGAUCUGAAGAUCAAGCUGAAUGCUGCUGCAAAGAUGUCUCGUCUUGCAAUAGUCUACUUCACUACAACAUGGUGUGCCCGCAUUGGUCUGAUAUACACAAAACUAGCUUCAGAAUUUCCUGAAAGUCGACAUUGAUGAGGCGCCCGAGAAUGGGCGAUCCUUCGAGCUAUGUGAAUCUUGUCCUGUUCGGCUUAGUAUGACAAGUGUCCGCAUGCAAUCAAUGGACAUUUUGGUGAAAUUUUUGUGUUGUGCUUUGAGGUUUGGAUGCGCGUACAUUUCUUCGCCAAGCCAUAGCAAAUAAGGCUUCCGCCGCUGCUGCUAGUAGAUUUUGGCUCGAGAAGGUUCCCUAAUGCAAAAAUCAAUGGCCAUAGAUGCAACAUUUUGGGGAAAUUUAGUGUGUUUUAGUUACAAAUCUUCUUCAAUUCAUAGAGAAUAAGUCUUCCGCCUGCUGCUGCUUCUGCUCGUAGAUUUUGGCUUGUGCGGAAUAGAAAGUGUUGAUGUAGGGAAAAAUGUUGAGAUCUAAGCAUCUGAAGACUGUUGAAUCUAACAAAGACAAAGCGCAUUCGUUGGAGAUGGAAAUUGUCGAGUCUGAUGUUGAAUUGGAUGAUUCGCAUGUUGUGGAG
Long non-coding RNA from Salvia splendens (bonfire salvia), 923 nucleotides. RefSeq lists it as uncharacterized. The transcript has 3 exons. NCBI's taxonomy places the organism in Eukaryota, Viridiplantae, Streptophyta, Magnoliopsida, Lamiales, Lamiaceae. The record is from RefSeq and is a predicted model, not a curated record.